Molecule: ribosomal RNA, 530 nt
Filed under: uncultured bacterium
Lineage: Bacteria
Description: partial 16S ribosomal RNA
Rfam family: Bacterial small subunit ribosomal RNA
Source: RNAcentral
UGGGGAAUAUUGCACAAUGGGCGAAAGCCUGAUGCAGCGACGCCGCGUGAGGGAUGACGGCCUUCGGGUUGUAAACCUCUUUCAGCAGGGAAGAAGCGAAAGUGACGGUACCUGCAGAAGAAGCGCCGGCUAACUACGUGCCAGCAGCCGCGGUAAUACGUAGGGCGCAAGCGUUGUCCGGAAUUAUUGGGCGUAAAGAGCUCGUAGGCGGUUAGUCGCGUCUGCUGUGAAAACUCGAGGCUCAACCUCGGGCUUGCAGUGGGUACGGGCUGACUAGAGUGCGGUAGGGGUGACUGGAAUUCCUGGUGUAGCGGUGGAAUGCGCAGAUAUCAGGAGGAACACCGAUGGCGAAGGCAGGUCACUGGGCCGCAACUGACGCUGAGGAGCGAAAGCAUGGGAGCGAACAGGAUUAGAUAGCCCUGGUAGUCCAUGCCGUAAACGUUGGGCACUAGGUGUGGGGUCCAUUCCACGGAUUCCGUGCCGCAGCAAACGCAUUAAGUGCCCCGCCUGGGGAGUACGGCCGCAAGGCU